This 394-nucleotide ribosomal RNA is filed under the name uncultured bacterium. Its description in RNAcentral is "partial 16S ribosomal RNA". It matches the Rfam family "Bacterial small subunit ribosomal RNA", at positions 523 to 918 of the family's 1533-position model. The record is from RNAcentral.
AUACGUAGGGAGCGAGCGUUGUCCGGAAUUACUGGGCGUAAAGGGCGCGUAGGCGGCGCUUCAAGUCGUCUGUCAAAUGGAAGGGCUUAACCCUUUUUCGCAGACGAAACUGGAGAGCUUGAGAAGCAGAGAGGCAAACAGAAUUCCUGGUGUAGCGGGGAAAUGCGUAGAUAUCAGGAAGAAUACCAGUGGCGAAGGCGGUUUGCUGGCUGCAUACUGACGCUGAAGCGCGAAAGCCAGGGGAGCGAACGGGAUUAGAUACCCCGGUAGUCCUGGCAGUAAACGAUGUAUGCUGGGUGUGAGACUAGCGAUAGUUUCGUGCCGAAGUUAACGCGAUAAGCAUACCGCCUGGGGAGUACGGUCGCAAGAUUGAAACUCAAAUGAAUUGACGGGG